Molecule: long non-coding RNA, 1540 nt
Organism: Felis catus (domestic cat)
Lineage: Eukaryota; Metazoa; Chordata; Mammalia; Carnivora; Felidae
Exons: 2
Source: RefSeq, a predicted model, not a curated record
AGAAGAAAAGGAAAGGUAAGAAAAAAAUAAAUUAAAAAAAAAAAAACCCAACCCAAUGAAAUGCUUCCUCUGAACUCAUGGAAAAGCUGGGAAGUCCUCUGGGGACAGCAGGCAGGGUGAGGGGCAAGAUGGGCUGGGGCAGGGCUGUCUUCCAGGUUGUAGGUGUUCCUUGCCCAGAAGAGAAAUCGCACCACACAGCCGCCCCCCCCACCCCCCGGCCCCCUCUCCCGAGUCCUCCUCCUUCCUGGACCACCGAAUGCCUGUGGGAAAAGAAAUAAAAAGCCAGGUAGAGUUCAAAUUAGAAAAAAAAAUGGAAACCAGAUUCUCUGGGGGAAAAACAGACUCAGUGACACCGCGAGCGAAACCUGGAAAGCAGAAAUGCUAAAUGCGAGGGAGCAAGACUCUUGCAGAAGGAAAUUAGAUGUGAGCUGCCAGGUGAUACAGCCGCCGAAAGGUCAGUGCUAUUUUGGGCUGCAUAUGAAGAGGCUCCGGGCAUCUCAGGACACACACGCGCACACACAAAUGUACAAACUAGAGAGGGCUCAGAGAAAGGCAAAGCGUUGGUGAAGGGAUGGCUGUCGGCUUUGUGGUGAGAGAUUAAAGGCGUGACGGAAGCAAGAACAGACACCUGCGAGUAACCACAGAGGCACCCAGGCAAAGUGGAGUAGCCGGGCAGCAAAAGCAGGAGGAAACCAGUGGAGGCGGGGUUGGAACACAACUGGCUCAUGGGAACGUGGGACCUGGGGAUAGACUCGGAUCCAGGCGCCUCCAGACGUCGGCACAGAAGCUCAAGGAUUUUGACUGUGGUGUUCCCCUUUUAGCAUGUUCAGUGUCAGCCCCAUUAUUUUCGUACAGCUAACUGACUACUUGUGUGCUUGCUGUAUACUUUUUUUUUUUUUUUUUUGGUCUCAAAGCUUCCGGUUAUGCAUGUUUCCUGAUGCCUCAAUUUUACUCCUACUUGGUGUUUCCCUAGUUUGUCUUGCCAUGUCCCUUGGUGGAAGAGGUGGUUGGCUCCUUGUCUCCAGUAUCUGCUCUCUCCUUCCAAAGUAGUGGCUUUAACUCUAUCAGACUAAACACCUCGUUUUCACACGGAAUAGUUUACAAGCCACCCUUGGCGGACCUGAAAUUUGUGAGCACGUUUUUUCCCAUGUAAAGACUCCGAAAAGAAUCAAUAAUGCCCUAAGUGGAACGUAAAAUAAAUGCAGAAAAUAAAGUAACUUAAAGUAAAAUAGUUUUUACAUUUACAUUACAUCAUUACAAAUAAUUACGGUAUUUAAAUGAAAUUAAUUAAUUUAAAAUGAUACACAAUUUAAUAAGCAAACACUCAGGCAUAACUGUACUAGAAAAUGCAAUGAUGUAGUGAGAUGAUUACACCAAACAUGAACCAGGACAAAUGUAGUACUUACAACCAGGGACUUACAAAUGAUGACUUAAAUGCUGUGAGCUGCAUUAUUAUAGAUGAUGUGCUUAUUUUUCUGAAAUGGUAAACAACUCUGGGUAAAGAUACAAAUAUAAUAAAGUACAGUUUUUCCUUAAUUGA